Molecule: non-coding RNA, 86 nt
Filed under: Pseudomonas indica
Lineage: Bacteria; Pseudomonadati; Pseudomonadota; Gammaproteobacteria; Pseudomonadales; Pseudomonadaceae
Source: RNAcentral
CGUUAUGGCAGAUCGCGUGGGGAGACCCUCGGGUCUGCCGGGUUCAGUAUCCCCGGUUCGCUAACCCUGCGCGGUCUGCCACCUUA